RNAcentral lists this ribosomal RNA (501 nucleotides) under uncultured bacterium. RNAcentral describes it as "partial 16S ribosomal RNA". It matches the Rfam family "Bacterial small subunit ribosomal RNA", at positions 28 to 523 of the family's 1533-position model. The record is from RNAcentral.
GAUGAACGCUAGCGGGAGGCUUAACACAUGCAAGUCGAGGGGCAGCACGGGUAGCAAUACCUGGUGGCGACCGGCAGACGGGUGAGUAACGCGUAUGUAACCUACCCUGUACAGGGGGAUAACCAGGAGACAUUCGGACUAAUAUCCCAUAGGAAUAUUGAGAGGCAUCUUUUAAUAUUUAAAGUUCCGGCGGUACGGGAUGGGCAUGCGUAACAUUAGCUAGUUGGUAAGGUAACGGCUUACCAAGGCUUUGAUGUUUAGGGGUCCUGAGAGGGUGGUCCCCCACACUGGUACUGAGACACGGACCAGACUCCUACGGGAGGCAGCAGUGAGGAAUAUUGGUUAAUGGGCGCAAGCCUGAACCAGCCAUCCCGCUUGCAGGAAGACGGCCCUAUGGGUUGUAAACUGCUUUUCCAGGGGGAGAAACUUGCGCACGUGUUGCGCAAUUGACGGUACCCUGGGAAUAAGCAUCGGCUAACUCCGUGCCAGCCGCCGCAGUAA